RNAcentral lists this long non-coding RNA (1302 nucleotides) under Salmo salar (Atlantic salmon). RNAcentral's name for it is "lncRNA (ENSSSAG00000113196.1)". Lineage: Eukaryota; Metazoa; Chordata; Actinopteri; Salmoniformes; Salmonidae. The record is from RNAcentral.
CAAUUUGUGUGAUGUUACAACAAUGCUGCCACUGAUGUUUAUGCUUGUAGAAAUUACUCCUGAAAAUUGUUUCACUAAUGCAAUUAUUUACAACCUGCACACAUACAGUUAUCAACAACAACAACAGUAAUGAUGUUAAUAAGGAAGUUGAUAUUCAACCAGCAGAAGAAAGGCAUAGGGGUUGAGAUAAAUGAAGGUUCGGUUCAGGACCUAGGGUUGGGUUCAGGUAAAGGUUAGGUAGAGUUUCAGAGGUUAAGGUAAGGGUUAAUGUUAAGGAAAGACUUUUAAUAAUAACAAUGACAUGUCUUACGUGGGCCAGUUGUAGGUCCACCAUCAGCAGCUCCUGCAGUUGUUUGAGUCUGUUGAUCUUCUGCAUUUUUCUCUGGUUCUCCUCCCAUUCUUUGGCUCCUCUGGCCCUCUGGCUCCCUCACUCUCAGGAUCUCAGCCUUCCACUCUUUCAUUAUACACCUUUUUACUCUUCUUCUCCUCCUUUCGUCUUUUAAAAGGGCUCUGAGAUUGUCUGUUUCAGACUGUAAUUGUUCAAUCAUCUCGUCCUUCUCCGUUCCACCAUUCCUCUUCUUCUUUUCCUCCUCCCAGAGGCACACUUGAAGUCUGUCCAUCUCCUUCUUCUGAUUUCGGAUCGUUCGAUCCUUCCCCUCAACUCAAGCAUGUGGGCUUCCUUCUCUGUACAGGUCUUCUUCUCUUCUCUCAGGAACUGAACCUCCAUCUCUGCCUGCUGGUAGCUGGGAGCAAAGGAAUGUCAACACAUUAUUUAGGAAGUGAACUCAGACAAUUUACUACAAUAUUAAAAUAAUAAUUAAACUUCUGCUCAAUUAAACUGUCUUUAAUCACACAACUAACACAUCUGUGACUAACAAUACGUGAAUGUGAUGAGUUGACUGUCCAUGAUGGCCAGAGCUAGGCCAUCUCCAGAUCCAACGGGCUCUUGGCUUACCUGUUGGCCUAUGUCCCACCCCGGCAAUUCCUGACCUUGGUUGUAGUCGUGGCUGUGUUGGGUGGUUGGACACCGGGUGAUGUACUGGGUGCUGAACUUCUGGAUUUGCUCAUCAGCCUCCAGAUUCAUCUGCUCCAGCCAUUUCUCCUGCUUUCUUUUAGGUACUGCUCCUUCAUCCGCUCCCUCUCCUCCUUCAGUUUCUGAUGAGUCCGUUUUUUAAACAGGGACUGCUCUCUCCACUGUAAUCCUACAUCUUCUUCCUUUUCUCCUCAGCCUUCAGGAGCUCCUUCCUCUUCUCCCUCUCUCUCUGCCCGGGUGAUGGUAGAUGUUAGCCCUUUGUGUACAGG